GACCUCCUGGGAUUGUGUCUGGAGAGUGGCUAGUAUUCUACCAGCUUCAGACAAAGGAGGUCUGAAGCCUAGUAGAGGUACCCAUUCCAUUCCCGGUUUGUUUGGUUGCUGGCAAUUAGAAGACACUCUGCAACGAGU
RNAcentral lists this small nucleolar RNA (138 nucleotides) under Propithecus coquereli (Coquerel's sifaka). Lineage: Eukaryota; Metazoa; Chordata; Mammalia; Primates; Indriidae. The record is from RNAcentral.